GGGGAAUAUUGGACAAUGGGCGAAAGCCUGAUCCAGCCAUGCCGCGUGUGUGAAGAAGGUCUUCGGAUUGUAAAGCACUUUAAGUUGGGAGGAAGGGUUUCUGGCUAAUAUCCAGGAAUUUUGACGGUACCCAAAGAAUAAGCACCGGCUAACUUCGUGCCAGCAGCCGCGGUAAUACGAAGGGUGCAAGCGUUACUCGGAAUUACUGGGCGUAAAGCGUGCGUAGGUGGUCGUUUAAGUCCGUUGUGAAAGCCCUGGGCUCAACCUGGGAACUGCAGUGGAUACUGGGCGACUAGAGUGUGGUAGAGGGUAGCGGAAUUCCUGGUGUAGCAGUGAAAUGCGUAGAGAUCAGGAGGAACAUCCAUGGCGAAGGCAGCUACCUGGACCAACACUGACACUGAGGCACGAAAGCGUGGGGAGCAAACA
RNAcentral lists this ribosomal RNA (426 nucleotides) under uncultured Stenotrophomonas sp. RNAcentral's name for it is "bacterial SSU rRNA". It matches the Rfam family "Bacterial small subunit ribosomal RNA", at positions 356 to 774 of the family's 1533-position model. Lineage: Bacteria; Pseudomonadati; Pseudomonadota; Gammaproteobacteria; Lysobacterales; Lysobacteraceae. The record is from RNAcentral.